This is a non-coding RNA of Trichuris trichiura (human whipworm), 46 nucleotides long. NCBI's taxonomy places the organism in Eukaryota, Metazoa, Nematoda, Enoplea, Trichinellida, Trichuridae. The record is from Rfam.
CAAACGGCCCUUUUCAGGGCCACUAAAUUGAACGCAACAGAAUGUG